UUCAAUGUGUAUGGACGUGUGCUAUUUAAUCUGAUACUGAUCUUCCGGAUUGGAGUGUUAUUUUCACUGUUCCUGAGAAUAUCGAGGAGCCCAAGAAAAUGAGUUACGGCAGACCACCGCCUCGAAUCGAUGGGAUGGUGUCCCUGAAGGUGGACAAUCUCACGUACAGAACGACGCCGGAGGAUCUGAGACGCGUGUUCGAAAGAUGUGGCGAAGUCGGCGACAUUUACAUACCCAGAGAUCGCUUUACUCGAGAAAGCCGUGGAUUUGCGUUCGUCAGAUUCUAUGAUAAACGAGAUGCAGAGGAUGCAUUAGACGCCAUGGACGGAAGGCUGUUAGAUGGAAGGGAACUUAGGGUUCAAAUGGCGCGAUAUGGACGGCCAACUUCCCCACAUCGUAGUCGCGGCAGUCGUCGGCGUGGAAGGUCACGCAGUAGGAGCAGGGAUCGAAGACGCUCACGCUCUAGAUCGCGUAGUAGAUCGAGGAGUCGCGAUAGAGAUCGUAGGCGAUCAUACAGUCGUAGUCGCAGCCGCUCACGCUCUGAUAGUAAGAGCUCGCGUGGAAAAUCUCGCUCCCGCAGCAAGUCUCCGGAUAGGCAAAAAGAUAGUCGUUCCAAAUCGAGGGACUGAAGUAAUUGAACCAUGUGCGAGUACAACUGUGAACAGAUGCACGCGCCGCAAGUGCAGAAUAAUCGUUUCUUGAGAACAAAAAGGCGGUGGAAAGGAGUGGCGUGGCGAGUGUAGCCGAUGAUGGGGUAGCUGAGAGUAAGCAGUAAGCCGAGUAGCAGGGCUGUAAGCAGUUUGCAGUAGCGAGCGGUUGGUGGUCUGGUGAAAGCAGGUUCGCGAGUCGAUCAGGGCGAGAAAAAGAGAGAAAGUGUGUGAGCGAAAGCUGUCUCUCUCUCUGUGGGGGGUCGGCGUGCAGAAAUCGCAGAGGGUACGGUCUCGAAUGCAGAGAAAUAAGCAGAGAGCACAACCAAAAGCCACACGCGGUUGCUGGUCUCGACCACCGUCCGGUUUGCAGGUAGCA
RNA transcript from Habropoda laboriosa, 1026 nucleotides. It is a transcript of the gene named serine/arginine-rich splicing factor 2, with no coding region annotated. The record is from RefSeq and is a predicted model, not a curated record. The transcript is spliced from 5 exons. Lineage: Eukaryota; Metazoa; Arthropoda; Insecta; Hymenoptera; Apidae.